AGCCUCCCGAUUCUUUACCCUCAGAUGUAAACAUGGGUCUGAGUGGCUUUAAAAGGAGGGGAAAAGUAAAACUGAAGUGGGCUUGGAUUCUUCAGUGAUGAACAAGUUCGUGUCAGACAAAA
RNAcentral lists this small nucleolar RNA (122 nucleotides) under Echinops telfairi (small Madagascar hedgehog). Its description in RNAcentral is "Small nucleolar RNA SNORA61 (ENSETEG00000026708.1)". The record is from RNAcentral. Lineage: Eukaryota; Metazoa; Chordata; Mammalia; Afrosoricida; Tenrecidae.